Molecule: long non-coding RNA, 1558 nt
Organism: Monodelphis domestica (gray short-tailed opossum)
Lineage: Eukaryota; Metazoa; Chordata; Mammalia; Didelphimorphia; Didelphidae
Source: Ensembl
CGGUCUACAAUUCCUGCCCCAUUGAGCAUUUGCCCAAAGGCUACCAACUUAAGGCAAUCACUAUUCAUGGACAACCUCCAGAGCUAACUGGGUUCGGGGCUAAUAUAGGUUUUCUGGAACAGCUUAAUGAAACACUCCCUGGCACACCUCAUUUGGAUCCUGUCUUCUGCCUCGAAGGAACAUGGACACCAAACCUCCACCCGAUUCUUUGAAGCCUGGCUCUAACCUACCUGCAAGAAGAAAACGAACAAUAUUUAGUAAAGCACAAAGAAAUAUUUUGAUCGACUACUUUCAAAAGGACAACUACCCUGGUAUAGAAGAAAGAGAACAACUUUCCAAGAUGAUCAAUGUUCCCGAAGACAGAAUACAGGUCUGGUUCCAAAACAGAAGAGCUAGAAGAUCAUUGAAUCCAAAACAGCUUCCAUCUCAACCUUCUACAAGCUUAGGUGAAAUUCAGGGAGAGGACCUCUCUGAAAAUGCUCUGUCAUCACCCAGUAUGUCUGGGUCUUCCUCCAGCACAGAUGAAGAGCCUAGUCAGGAAGUUGGCCAAAGGACUAGCUGCUCCCCAAAGAGAAAGAAGGUGGAUUCAGCCACUGAGGAUGCUUGCUCAAGUGCCCAAGGACAUUACUCUGAUUCCUCCCCAACCACAAAUGCCUCAACUGAACUUCAGCUUUGUACAAUGUCCCAAAGAAGUUCCAGUCAGUGUGCACCUUCCUCAGCUCUUCAGAGUACACCUGGGCCACAAAACUAUGGCCCACACACCUCUUAUGAGCCUAGUCAGGAAGCUGGUCAAAGGACUAGCUGCUCCCCAAAGAGAAAGAAGGUGGAUCCAGCCACUGAGGAUGCUUGCUCAAGUGCCCAAGGACAUUACUCUUAUUCCUCCCCAACCACAAAUGCCUCAACUGAACUUCAGCUUUGUACAAUGUCCCAAAGAAGUUCCAGUCAGUGUGCACCUUCCUCAGCUCUUCAGAGUACACCUGGGCCACAAAACUAUGGCCCACACACCUCCUAUUAUGGAGUGAACUCACUACCUCAUGGUCAAGAGCAAAACUGGACAAAUAGACAGAUUUAUUUAAAAUAUUACCUGUUGCCUUUUCAGCAUGCAGAAGAGCUCCCAUGUCAGCUGCAGCAAUAUGAACCUCAGCAGUCAGCAGCCCUGUUGCUCUUGGUGCCUCAACUCCCCACCUUCCAGACACAACACAUAACUCCAUCUCUGAAUCAAGCACCAGAAGAGCUUCAAGGCCAGCCAUGGCCACCUCCAUUGUUGAUAGGGGAAGAGCACCAACAAGAACUGAUUCUCAUUGAUCUAUCCAAGAGAACCAUUGGACUUGAGUCUCCAUGGUUGCUUCCUGAUGGAGAUCCAGCUGACUCCCUGGAGGCUGCCCCACAGGGCAAUCCGAACAUCCUACAGGAAUAUCAGACAUGUUCUGGAAUAUAUGACCAGAAGGAUGUCACCCAUUCACACUUUUGGAAACUGGAGAGAGAGGGUGAAACAACUGAAGAAAUGAAGAGAGGGGAAAAAACUGAUCCUCCCCUCUCUUCCCCUGGGGGAAGAUAG